This 210-nucleotide ribosomal RNA is filed under the name Bacillus velezensis. RNAcentral describes it as "partial 16S ribosomal RNA". It matches the Rfam family "Bacterial small subunit ribosomal RNA", at positions 1 to 206 of the family's 1533-position model. The record is from RNAcentral. Lineage: Bacteria; Bacillati; Bacillota; Bacilli; Caryophanales; Bacillaceae.
UUUAUCGGAGAGUUUGAUCCUGGCUCAGGACGAACGCUGGCGGCGUGCCUAAUACAUGCAAGUCGAGCGGACAGAUGGGAGCUUGCUCCCUGAUGUUAGCGGCGGACGGGUGAGUAACACGUGGGUAACCUGCCUGUAAGACUGGGAUAACUCCGGGAAACCGGGGCUAAUACCGGAUGGUUGUCUGAACCGCAUGGUUCAGACAUAAAA